Molecule: non-coding RNA, 294 nt
Organism: Scomber japonicus (chub mackerel)
Lineage: Eukaryota; Metazoa; Chordata; Actinopteri; Scombriformes; Scombridae
Source: the annotation of a RefSeq genome assembly
AUGUUCUCUGUAGCUCUGAUGCUGCUGCUGGCAGCUGGAUCCUGUGUGUACAGUAUUGAUCUCAUCCAGCCAGACUCAAUGGUUGUGCAGCCUGGACAGUCUUUGACCAUCACCUGUCAGGUCUCUGGUUAUUCUCUGACUGAUAACAGCUAUGCAACAGGUUGGAUCAGACAGCGUGAAGGAAAACCAAUGAACUGGAUUUUUUAUCAGUGGGGAGGAGGUGACUUUUACCAAAAUAAUGCUCUGAAGAACAAGUUCAGCUACAGCAGAGACACUUCUGCUAUAGAACAGUGA